Molecule: transfer RNA, 76 nt
Filed under: Candidatus Goldiibacteriota bacterium
Lineage: Bacteria; Candidatus Goldiibacteriota
Description: tRNA-Glu
Rfam family: tRNA
About the family: Transfer RNA (tRNA) molecules are approximately 80 nucleotides in length. Their secondary structure includes four short double-helical elements and three loops (D, anti-codon, and T loops).
Source: RNAcentral
GUCCCCAUGGUCAAGCGGUUUAAGACAUCGCCCUUUCAAGGCGGUAUCACGGGUUCGAUUCCCGUUGGGGACGCCA